GGAUUUUUUUUUUUUUAAAAAAAAGAGGAUUGACAACAGGCUAUAUGUGGUGGAUUGAAAAAGGUUGGAUUUCUAUCUAGAGGUUAUAGGCUUUCACACUUAGAUUUUGAAUCAGGUUAGGCUUGGUGGAGUUCUUUGUCAAUUUUGAGUAGGCAAUGGUAUAUAAUUUAGGGGUGUGUGUGGUUUUUGGGUGUUUUGAAUCGAAUCGAAGAACCGUACUAACCCAAUCAGAACCGUACCAAACCAAAUUUAUUUUAUUGUUUUGGUUUUUCACUAGUUAAA
RNAcentral lists this unclassified non-coding RNA (282 nucleotides) under Hevea brasiliensis (rubber tree). Lineage: Eukaryota; Viridiplantae; Streptophyta; Magnoliopsida; Malpighiales; Euphorbiaceae. The record is from RNAcentral.